Molecule: non-coding RNA, 21 nt
Filed under: Arabidopsis thaliana (thale cress)
Lineage: Eukaryota; Viridiplantae; Streptophyta; Magnoliopsida; Brassicales; Brassicaceae
Source: RNAcentral
CUGUACUCGAACUGAAUGGUA